UUACGGGUGGCUGCAGUGGGGAAUAUUGGACAAUGGGCGAAAGCCUGAUCCAGCCAUGCCGCGUGUGUGAAGAAGGCCUUCGGGUUGUAAAGCACUUUCAGUGGGGAAGAAAGCCUUGGGGCUAAUACCCUCGAGGAAGGACAUCACCCACAGAAGAAGCACCGGCUAACUCCGUGCCAGCAGCCGCGGUAAUACGGAGGGUGCGAGCGUUAAUCGGAAUUACUGGGCGUAAAGCGCGCGUAGGCGGUCUGAUAAGCCGGUUGUGAAAGCCCCGGGCUCAACCUGGGAACGGCAUCCGGAACUGUCAGGCUAGAGUGCAGGAGAGGAAGGUAGAAUUCCCGGUGUAGCGGUGAAAUGCGUAGAGAUCGGGAGGAAUACCAGUGGCGAAGGCGGCCUUCUGGACUGACACUGACGCUGAGGUGCGAAAGCGUGGGUAGCAAACAGGAUUAGAUACCCAGUAGUC
RNAcentral lists this ribosomal RNA (463 nucleotides) under Vreelandella stevensii. RNAcentral describes it as "partial 16S ribosomal RNA". It matches the Rfam family "Bacterial small subunit ribosomal RNA", at positions 339 to 795 of the family's 1533-position model. Lineage: Bacteria; Pseudomonadati; Pseudomonadota; Gammaproteobacteria; Oceanospirillales; Halomonadaceae. The record is from RNAcentral.